UACAUGGGGUGCAGACGUUGCUCGGAAUUAUUGGGCGUAAAGCGCACGUAGGCGGUUUGUUAAGUCGGAUGUGAAAUCCCUCGGCUCAACUGAGGAAGUGCAUCCGAAACUGGCAGGCUUGAGUACUAAAGAGGGUCGCGGAAUUCCCGGUGUAGAGGUGAAAUUCGUAGAUAUCGGGAGGAACACCGGUGGCGAAGGCGGCGACCUGGGUAGAUACUGACGCUGAGGUGCGAAAGCGUGGGGAGCAAACAGG
This 253-nucleotide ribosomal RNA is filed under the name uncultured bacterium. RNAcentral describes it as "partial 16S ribosomal RNA". It matches the Rfam family "Bacterial small subunit ribosomal RNA", at positions 524 to 776 of the family's 1533-position model. The record is from RNAcentral.